RNAcentral lists this ribosomal RNA (462 nucleotides) under uncultured bacterium. RNAcentral describes it as "bacterial SSU rRNA". It matches the Rfam family "Bacterial small subunit ribosomal RNA", at positions 36 to 518 of the family's 1533-position model. The record is from RNAcentral.
CUGGCGGCGUGCUUCAUACAUAGCAAGUCGAACGAUAAGGUCUCUUCGGAGAUACAUAAGUGGCGGACGGGUGAGUAAUAUGUAGAGAAUCUGCCCUAGAGAGUGGGACAACAGUUGGAAACGACUGCUAAUACCGCAUAUGAGCAUAGUUGAGAUACUAUUCUUGAAAACUCCGGUGCUCUAGGAUGAGUCUGCAUCUGAUUAGCUAGUUGGGGGUGUAAUGGACCACCAAGGCGACGAUCAGUAGCUGGUUUGAGAGGAUGAUCAGCCACAAUGGGACUGAGACACGGCCCAUACUCCUACGGGAGGUAGCAGUAGGGAAUUUUGCGCAAUGGGGGAAACCCUGACGCAGCAACGCCGCGUGACCGAUGAAGCCCUUCGGGGUGUAAAGGUCUGUCAGUGGGGACGAAUAAUGACGGUACCCACAGAGGAAGCAUCGGCUAACUCCGUGCCAGCAGCCGC